UACGUAGGGGGCGAGCGUUGUCCGGAGUUACUGGGCGUAAAGCGCACGCAGGCGGUCUGCUAAGUUUGGAGUGACAGUUGGUGGCUUAACUGCCAAAGUGCUUCGAAAACUGACAGACUUGAGGGCUUCAGAGGGACACGGAAUUCCGGGUGGAGUGGUGAAAUGCGUAGAGAUCCGGAGGAACACCAAAGGCGAAGGCAGUGUCCUGGGGAGUACCUGACUCUCAGGUGCGAAAGCCAGGGGAGCGAACGGG
Molecule: ribosomal RNA, 253 nt
Filed under: uncultured bacterium
Lineage: Bacteria
Description: partial 16S ribosomal RNA
Rfam family: Bacterial small subunit ribosomal RNA
Source: RNAcentral